UCUCUUUUCGGACUCAGCCCGCCUGCACCCAGGUGAAAUAAACAGCCGUGUUGCUCACACAAAGCCUGUUUGGUGGUCUCUUCACAUGGACUCCAGUGAAACUUUCCAUUAGGGAGACACAACAGGUUGGCCUGGCAGGAUUUCAUAUCAGGGAGGCCCCAGGUAUGAGCUGACAUGCACUGGUUGGCAUUCAUGUCCUGACACAUGAUCAUAAAAAAUUUUUUUAGAAAACGUGGGUGAUGAGCUGCACUGCACCUUAAGGACCCAGGAGGAUGGGAAGCCAGGGAUACUUGGGUUUCCCUCCCACUCAGCACCUUUUCUUAGGGUCUCUUUUCAGCUCAAGCCACAAGGACUGUAGGCGUGAUUUCAGUUGGGAGACAUCCCCCAUUGGAUGGCACUGGAGUUGAAGAGGGGAAGAAGGCAAUAGAAGUGAGGAAGAGCUGGACUGUACUGCUGCCAUCUCGGCUCAUUGCAACCUCCCUGCCUGAUUCUCCUGCCUCAGCCUGCCUAGUGCCUGCAAUUGCAGGCGCGCACCGCCACGCCUGACUGGUUUUCGUAUUUUUUGGGUGGAGACGGGGUUUCGCUGUGUUGGCCGGGCUGGUCUCCAGCUCCUAACCGUGAGUGAUCCGCCAGCCUCGGCCUCCCGAGGUGCUGGGAUUGCAGACGGAGUCUCCUUCACUCAGUGCUCAAUGGUGCCCAGGCUGGAGUGCAGUGGCGUGAUCUCGGCUCGCUACAACAUCCACCUCCCAGCAGCCUGCCUUGGCCUCCCAAAGUGCCGAGAGUGCAGCCUCUGCCCCGCCGCCACCCCGUCUGGGAAGUGAGGAGCGUCUCUGCCUGGCCGCCCAUCGUCUGGGAUGUGAGGAGCCCCUCUGCCUGGCUGCCCAGUCUGGAAAGUGAGGAGCGUCUCUGCCCAGCCGCCACCCCAUCUAGGAAGUGAGGAGCGCCUCUUCCCAGCCGCCAUCCCAUCUAGGAAGUGAGGAGCGUCUCUGCCCGGCCGCCCCGUCUAAGUGAGGAGACCCUCUGCCUGGCAACCGCCCUGUCUGAGAAGUGAGGAGCCCCUCCGCCCAGCAGCCGCCCCGUCUGAGAAGUGAGGAGCCCCUCCGCCCGGCAGCCACCCCGUCUGGGAAGUGAGGAGCGUCUCCGCCCGGCAGCCACCCCAUCCGGGAGGGAGGUGGGGGGGUCAGCCCCCCGCCCGGCCAGCCGCCCCAUCCGGGAGGUGAGGGGCGCCUCUGCCCAGCCGCCCCUACUGGGAAGUGAGGAGCCC
RNAcentral lists this long non-coding RNA (1264 nucleotides) under Homo sapiens (human). RNAcentral's name for it is "HSALNT0059783". The record is from RNAcentral. Lineage: Eukaryota; Metazoa; Chordata; Mammalia; Primates; Hominidae.